This 65-nucleotide transfer RNA is filed under the name Euastacus spinifer. RNAcentral's name for it is "tRNA-Thr". It matches the Rfam family "tRNA". From Rfam's summary of the family: Transfer RNA (tRNA) molecules are approximately 80 nucleotides in length. Their secondary structure includes four short double-helical elements and three loops (D, anti-codon, and T loops). Further hydrogen bonds mediate the characteristic L-shaped molecular structure. tRNAs have two regions of fundamental functional importance: the anti-codon, which is responsible for specific mRNA codon recognition, and the 3' end, to which the tRNAs corresponding amino acid is attached (by aminoacyl-tRNA synthetases). tRNAs cope with the degeneracy of the genetic code in two manners: having more than one tRNA (with a specific anti-codon) for a particular amino acid; and 'wobble' base-pairing, i.e. permitting non-standard base-pairing at the 3rd anti-codon position. Lineage: Eukaryota; Metazoa; Arthropoda; Malacostraca; Decapoda; Parastacidae. The record is from RNAcentral.
GUUUUAAUAGUUUAAUAAAAAAUAUUGGUCUUGUAAACCUAAGAUGAAUACUCCUUCUUAAAACU